UCCCUGGCAGUCCAGGGGUUAGGACUCUGUGCUUCCACUGCACAGGUCCUGGGUUCGAUCCCUGGUCGGGGAA
RNAcentral lists this transfer RNA (73 nucleotides) under Bos taurus (domestic cattle). It matches the Rfam family "tRNA". Rfam says of the family: Transfer RNA (tRNA) molecules are approximately 80 nucleotides in length. Their secondary structure includes four short double-helical elements and three loops (D, anti-codon, and T loops). Lineage: Eukaryota; Metazoa; Chordata; Mammalia; Artiodactyla; Bovidae. The record is from Rfam by way of RNAcentral. RNAcentral also lists the same sequence under 4 other names.